RNAcentral lists this ribosomal RNA (441 nucleotides) under uncultured bacterium. RNAcentral's name for it is "bacterial SSU rRNA". It matches the Rfam family "Bacterial small subunit ribosomal RNA", at positions 392 to 827 of the family's 1533-position model. The record is from RNAcentral.
CCAUGCCGCGUGAGUGAAGAAGGCUUCGGGUUGUAAAGCUCUUUUGUCCGGAAAGAAAAGCAUCCAGUUAAUACCUGGAUGUCCUGACGGUACCGGAAGAAUAAGCACCGGCUAACUUCGUGCCAGCAGCCGCGGUAAUACGAAGGGUGCAAGCGUUACUCGGAAUUACUGGGCGUAAAGCGUGCGUAGGUGGUUUGUUAAGUCUGAUGUGAAAGCCCUGGGCUCAACCUGGGAAUGGCAUUGGAUACUGGCAGGCUAGAGUGCGGUAGAGGGCAGUGGAAUUCCCGGUGUAGCAGUGAAAUGCGUAGAGAUCGGGAGGAACAUCUGUGGCGAAGCGACUGCCUGGACCAGCACUGACACUGAGGCACGAAAGCGUGGGGAGCAAACAGGAUUAGAUACCCUGGUAGUCCACGCCCUAAACGAUGCGAACUGGAUGUUGGG